AUCCUUUUAGUUUAAUUCGGUAGAACAGUAGCCUUCUAAGCUAUUAAUGAAAGUUCGAGUCUUUCAGAGGAUA
Molecule: non-coding RNA, 73 nt
Organism: Dictyostelium discoideum
Lineage: Eukaryota; Evosea; Eumycetozoa; Dictyosteliales; Dictyosteliaceae
Source: Rfam